Long non-coding RNA from Homarus americanus (American lobster), 503 nucleotides. RefSeq lists it as uncharacterized. The transcript is spliced from 2 exons. NCBI's taxonomy places the organism in Eukaryota, Metazoa, Arthropoda, Malacostraca, Decapoda, Nephropidae. The record is from RefSeq and is a predicted model, not a curated record.
CUUAAACAUCUGGGGAAGUAAUAUGGUUACACCACUUGUUUCCUGCUUCACAAGAAAAUGACAAAGGAACAAGAUCUCUCUCCUCUGGUACUACAAAUGACUCCUAAGAUACAGGAGGUCCUAUGAUGGAAGAAGCUUACCAAUAAAAUGCACAAGUUUGUAUCAGUUAUCUAAAAUGGUGGACAGCUCUGGAAUGGUGGAGAAACUGGUACAAUAGAUGAUGAGGCUGAUUUUUUCCAAGGAAGUUUGAAUUCAAGAUAUGGGUGAGUGUUGGAGAGAGUUCAAUUGGUUGCCCCGUGAAAGUGAUGAGGGAAAGAAGGCAAGUAUACAACUGUGGUGGAGUCCAUUGGAAUGAAAGGUACAGUUUGGUUUACCCCCAUGUGCUGUAAAGAGUCAUAGGUAGAGUGUCAAGUAUCAAGCAAGUAAUUAAUGUUUUUUUUGUUUUUUUAGAUAUAGAUAUGAACCAAGAAAAGCAGACAAAAAUAAAAAUGAUACUGAUAUUA